Molecule: ribosomal RNA, 878 nt
Filed under: Chloroflexi bacterium SCGC AAA007-G23
Lineage: Bacteria; Bacillati; Chloroflexota
Description: SSU rRNA
Rfam family: Bacterial small subunit ribosomal RNA
Source: RNAcentral
ACGCUGGCGGCGCGCUUAUGCAUGCAAGUCGAACGAUUGAGAGUGGUCUUCGGACUGUUCAAGAUAGUGGCAAACGGCUGAGUAACACGUAAGUAACCAACCCUUGGAUGGGGGACAACUCCGAGAAAUCGGAGCUAAUACCGCGUACGAUGGUGUCACACAAGUGGCAUUAUGAAAGCUGCACUUCGGUGUGGUGUCCAUGGACGGGCUUGCGGCCUAUCAGGUAGUUGGUAAGGUAAUGGCCUACCAAGCCUAAGACGGGUAACCGGUGUGAGAGCAUGACUGGUCAGAGGGGGACUGCGACACGGCCCCCACUCCUACGGGAGGCAGCAGCAGGGAAUCUUGCGCAAUGGGCGAAAGCCUGACGCAGCGACGCCGCGUGGAGGAAGACGGUUUUCGGAUUGUAAACUCCUUUUCUGGAGGAAGAGAAUGGACGGUACUUCAGGAAUAAGCCCCGGCUAACUACGUGCCAGCAGCCGCGGUAAGACGUAGGGGGCAAGCGUUGUUCGGAUUUAUUGGGCGUAAAGGGCAUGUAGGCGGAUAAGAAAGUCCACGGUGAAAGAUCUCGGCUUAACCGAGGGGUAUUCGUGGAAACUUCUUGUCUUGAGGGCAGCAGAGGCGAGUGGAAUUCCCGGAGUAGCGGUGAAAUGCGUAGAUUUCGGGAGGAACACCAGUGGCGAAGGCGACUCGCUGGGCUGUUUCUGACGCUGAGGUGCUAAAGCGUGGGGAGCGAACCGGAUUAGAUACCCGGGUAGUCCACGCCCUAAACGAUGGAUACUAGGUAUGGGGGGCACCGACCCCCUCCGUGCCGAAGCUUACGCGUUAAGUAUCCCGCCUGGGGAGUACGGCCGCAGGGCUAAACCUCAAAUGGGAUGUGC